UAAAAGGUCCUUUUAAGGGCCACACAAAUAUUAAAAAAAGAAUCUG
RNAcentral lists this non-coding RNA (46 nucleotides) under Mytilus galloprovincialis (Mediterranean mussel). It matches the Rfam family "Histone 3' UTR stem-loop". From Rfam's summary of the family: The mRNAs of metazoan histone genes lack a poly-A tail. 3' end processing occurs at a site between a highly conserved stem-loop (modelled by this family) and a purine rich region around 20 nts downstream (the histone downstream element, or HDE). The record is from RNAcentral. Lineage: Eukaryota; Metazoa; Mollusca; Bivalvia; Mytilida; Mytilidae.